GCGCCCGUGGUGUAGUGGUAGCACCUGACCCUUCCAAGGUCAUGGCACCGGUUCGAGCCCGGUCGGGCGCU
RNAcentral lists this transfer RNA (71 nucleotides) under Actinomycetes bacterium. RNAcentral's name for it is "Actinobacteria bacterium tRNA-Gly". It matches the Rfam family "tRNA". From Rfam's summary of the family: Transfer RNA (tRNA) molecules are approximately 80 nucleotides in length. Their secondary structure includes four short double-helical elements and three loops (D, anti-codon, and T loops). Lineage: Bacteria; Bacillati; Actinomycetota; Actinomycetes. The record is from RNAcentral. RNAcentral also lists the same sequence under 3 other names.